This 462-nucleotide ribosomal RNA is filed under the name Betaproteobacteria bacterium. Its description in RNAcentral is "bacterial SSU rRNA". It matches the Rfam family "Bacterial small subunit ribosomal RNA", at positions 57 to 515 of the family's 1533-position model. The record is from RNAcentral. Lineage: Bacteria; Pseudomonadati; Pseudomonadota; Betaproteobacteria.
GCAGUCGAACGGUAACAGGGAGCUUGCUCCGCUGACGAGGGGCGAAGGGGUGAGUAAUGCAUCGGAACGUACCCCGUCGUGGGGGAUAACGUAACGCAAGUUACGCUAAUACCGCAUACGUCCUGAGGGAGAAAGCGGGGGACCGAAAGGCCUCGCGCGAUUGGAGCGGCCGAUGUCGGAUUAUCUAGUUGGUAGGGUAAAGGCCUACCAAGGCGACGAUCCGUAGCGGGUCUGAGAGGAUGAUCCGCCACACUGGGACUGAGACACGGCCCACACUCCUACAGGAGGCAGCAGUGGGGAAUUUUGGACAAUGGGCGCAAGCCUGAUCCACCCAUGCCGCGUGAGUGAAGAAAGCCUUCAGGUUGUAAAGCUCUUUCAGGUGGAAAGAAAACGCAUGGGUCAAUACCCUGUGUGGAUGACGGUACCAUCCCAAGAAGCACCGGCUAACUACUUGCCAGCCCC